This 396-nucleotide long non-coding RNA is filed under the name Amborella trichopoda. RNAcentral's name for it is "long non-coding RNA (ATRI_LNC005262)". The record is from RNAcentral. Lineage: Eukaryota; Viridiplantae; Streptophyta; Magnoliopsida; Amborellales; Amborellaceae.
UCUCUGUUGCAAUUUCUGAUGAUUCUUGGCUACUGAAAGUCCCUCGAGCAUGUGCGUACAGAAAUACGUGGUAUGGAUCCAUCUUUUCUUGGACUGGUUACAACUGAUUCAAAACAAAGCAAGCCUACAUAAACCCUUUUCUUUCUCUACAGAGAAGAUCAAAAGAAGAUUUUAACAAAUAAAAAUAAUAAAUGACCUUUUCUUUCUCUACAGAGAAGAUCAAAAGAAGAUUUAAAAAAACAAAGGAAGAAUAUGAUUAAGUUAAGCUUACUGUCACAAAUCUUCUGGUUGGGUGGGCACUGCUGUUGAAACUCGAAACUUAAACUUGAGCAAGAGGUUAGGUGAGUGUUUGGAGAGAAAGAAUUAUAAAGAAACUGAAAACCCUUUCCCUUUUAU